RNAcentral lists this transfer-messenger RNA (123 nucleotides) under Prevotella sp. RNAcentral describes it as "partial transfer-messenger RNA". It matches the Rfam family "transfer-messenger RNA", at positions 236 to 374 of the family's 374-position model. From Rfam's summary of the family: Bacterial tmRNA, also known as 10Sa RNA or SsrA, is named for its dual tRNA and mRNA-like properties. Its role is to liberate the mRNA from a stalled ribosome. Lineage: Bacteria; Pseudomonadati; Bacteroidota; Bacteroidia; Bacteroidales; Prevotellaceae. The record is from RNAcentral.
GAUAAGGCUUCAGUUGGUGGUCCAGGUCUUGCUGUUGCACGAAAAUUAAAGGCUGGAAUAAACGUGUAGAAAGCGUAUGGUUUCCUUGUGCGGACGUGGGUUCGAAUCCCACCAGCUCCACAA